UACGGAGGGUGCAAACGUUAUCCGGAAUCACUGGGCGUAAAGCGCGUGUAGGUGGUUAUGUAAGUGGGUGAUUAAAUACCGAGGCUUAACCUCGGGACUGUUUCCCAUACUGCAUGACUUGAGGAAGACAGGGGCAAGUGGAACUUUGGGUGUAGGAGUGAAAUCCGUAGAUAUCCAAAGGAACACCAAUGGCGAAGGCAGCUUGCUGGGUCUUUUCUGACACUGAGACGCGAAAGCGUGGGGAGCAAACGGG
This 253-nucleotide ribosomal RNA is filed under the name uncultured bacterium. RNAcentral describes it as "partial 16S ribosomal RNA". It matches the Rfam family "Bacterial small subunit ribosomal RNA", at positions 524 to 776 of the family's 1533-position model. The record is from RNAcentral.